RNAcentral lists this ribosomal RNA (253 nucleotides) under uncultured bacterium. RNAcentral describes it as "partial 16S ribosomal RNA". It matches the Rfam family "Bacterial small subunit ribosomal RNA", at positions 524 to 776 of the family's 1533-position model. The record is from RNAcentral.
UACGGAGGGUGCAAGCGUUAUCCGGAUUUACUGGGUUUAAAGGGUGCGUAGGAGGGCAGGUAAGUCAGUGGUGAAAUCUUCGAGCUUAACUCGGAAACUGCCGUUGAUACUAUCUGUCUUGAAUACCGUGGAGGUGAGCGGAAUAUGUCAUGUAGCGGUGAAAUGCUUAGAUAUGACAUAGAACACCAAUUGCGAAGGCAGCUCGCUACACGAAUAUUGACUCUGAGGCACGAAAGCGUGGGGAUCAAACAGG